CCACCCGUAUUUGGUGAUAGUACAAAUAAAGGGUAUUCAAGGUGAUUAUUCAGUAAAAAUUAUUUUAGACUCGGGCUUCUCUUCAUAUAUGCUUAUGGCUUCUAUGAUAUUCCCCGCCAUUAGAAAUGAAAUCUGUGUAAUUUAAGAAAUUAGGAACCGUAGACUUGAAAGAAGCCAGGUCAAACUAAUGUGCCAGCUACCGCGGUCAGACAGAAUGGCUAAAUCAAUUUGACACUCAACUCUACGGCACAUUUUUGAUAAUAAUAAUAAAGGUAAGAGGUGCAAUUCGAACCCCUUACUCUCCCCCUUAAUUAUCUAUUCUUUUAUCCCGUGAAACCUGGGCGAUAAACAAGGAUUAGAUACCCUUCUAUUCCCAGGCCUAAAUAGAGAGUCGGUACUACAAACACAUGUUUAAAACCGAAUGCACUUGGCGGUGCUCUAACCAAUUAGGGGAACCUGUUGCUUAAACCGAUGAUCCACGUCCUCUCUACUUUAUCUAGCUCUUAGCAGCCUGUGUAUUGCCGUCGCCAGCCAAAAUAGCGAUAUUAGAGCAAAAUAUGUCUCCCACUAAAAGUCAGGUCGAAAUACAGCCAAUGAUAAAGGGUUAAUGGGUUACAUUUCUUAGUAGUAGUGAACUUUAAUAUAAAAAACUUAUACAAAAAAGGACUUAAAAGUAAGCUUAAACACGUAAUUAAGCUGAAUUGAGCCCUGGAGUGUGUACAAAUCGCCCGUCGCUCUCGCCGAAAGGGGAGAUAAGUCGUAACAAGGUAGGCGUACCGGAAGGUGUGCCUGCAUCUGC
This 799-nucleotide ribosomal RNA is filed under the name Polydora hoplura. Its description in RNAcentral is "12S ribosomal RNA". The record is from RNAcentral. Lineage: Eukaryota; Metazoa; Annelida; Polychaeta; Spionida; Spionidae.